Molecule: small nuclear RNA, 164 nt
Organism: Camelus dromedarius (Arabian camel)
Lineage: Eukaryota; Metazoa; Chordata; Mammalia; Artiodactyla; Camelidae
Gene: U1
Rfam family: U1 spliceosomal RNA
About the family: U1 is a small nuclear RNA (snRNA) component of the spliceosome (involved in pre-mRNA splicing). Its 5' end forms complementary base pairs with the 5' splice junction, thus defining the 5' donor site of an intron.
Source: Ensembl
CUGAUCACCUGGCAGGGAGAUGCCAUGAUCACGAAGGUGGCUUUCCCAGGGUGAGGCUCACCUGUUGCACUCUGGGUGUGCUGACCCCUGUGAUCUCCCCAAACGUGGGAAACGUGACUGCAGUAAUUUGUGGUCGUGGGGGACUGUGUUCACGCUUAACCCUG